Non-coding RNA from Podarcis lilfordi (Lilford's wall lizard), 69 nucleotides. Lineage: Eukaryota; Metazoa; Chordata; Lepidosauria; Squamata; Lacertidae. The record is from the annotation of a GenBank genome assembly.
GGAUGUGGCUCAGUGGCAGAGCUGCUGUUUUGAGGCAGAAGGUCCCUGGUUCAGUCCCUGGCAUCUCCA